This 1320-nucleotide ribosomal RNA is filed under the name metagenome. Its description in RNAcentral is "bacterial SSU rRNA". It matches the Rfam family "Bacterial small subunit ribosomal RNA", at positions 194 to 1481 of the family's 1533-position model. The record is from RNAcentral.
UAUGAGAUCAAAGAUGGCCUCUCCAUGGAAGCUAUUGUUUGAGGAUGAGUCCGCGUACCAUUAGCUAGUUGGUAGGGUAAAAGCCUACCAAGGCGACGAUGGUUAGCUGGUCUGAGAGUAUGACCAGCCACACUGGAACUGACACACGGUCCAGACUCCUACGGGAGGCAGCAGUGAGGAAUUUUGCGCAAUGGGGGAAACCCUGACGCAGCAACGCCGCGUGAGUGAUGAAGGCCUUUGGGUCGUAAAGCUCUGUCAAGUGGGAAGAACCUACCUGUGGGUAAUAUUCAUAGGUACUGACGGUACCACUGAAGGAAGCACCGGCUAACUCCGUGCCAGCAGCCGCGGUAAUACGGGGGGGUGCAAGCGUUAUUCGGAAUUAUUGGGCGUAAAGGGCGCGUAGGCGGUCCUGUUAGUCAGAUGUGAAAGCCCGGGGCUCAACCCCGGAAGAGCAUUUGAAACGGCAAGACUUGAGUAUGGGAGAGGGAAGUGGAAUUCCUGGUGUAGAGGUGAAAUUCGUAGAUAUCAGGAGGAACAUCUGUGGCGAAGGCGACUUCCUGGACCAAUACUGACGCUGAGGCGCGAAGGCGUGGGUAGCAAACAGGAUUAGAUACCCUGGUAGUCCACGCAGUAAACGGUGUUCACUAGGUGUAGCGGGUAUUGACCCCUGCUGUGCCGCAGUUAACGCAUUAAGUGAACCGCCUGGGGAGUACGAUCGCAAGAUUAAAACUCAAAGGAAUUGACGGGGGCCCGCACAAGCGGUGGAGCAUGUGGUUUAAUUCGACGCAACGCGAAGAACCUUACCUGGCCUUGACAUGCAAGUAGUAGAAGCCUGAAAGGGUAACGACCCCGCAAGGGGAGCUUGCACAGGUGCUGCAUGGCUGUCGUCAGCUCGUGUCGUGAGAUGUUGGGUUAAGUCCCGCAACGAGCGCAACCCUUGUGCCCUGUUGCCACUCCUGCGAGAGCGGGAAGCACUCUGGGCAGACUGCCUCGUCUAAACGGGGAGGAAGGUGGGGAUGACGUCAAGUCAGCAUGGCCCUUACGGCCAGGGCUGCACACGUACUACAAUGCCUGGUACAAUAGGAAGCAAGACCGCAAGGUGGAGCAAAUCCCAUAAAAUCAGGCCCAGUUCGGAUUGUCGUCUGCAACUCGACGACAUGAAGCCGGAAUCGCUAGUAAUGGCGCAUCAGCUACGGCGCCGUGAAUACGUUCCCAGGCCUUGUACACACCGCCCGUCACAUCAUGAAAGCCGGCGGUACCCGAAGUCAGUGUGCCAACCGCAAGGAGGUAGCUGCCGAAGGUAUGGCUGGUGAUUGGGAU